This 86-nucleotide transfer RNA is filed under the name Capsulimonas corticalis. RNAcentral describes it as "tRNA-Leu". Lineage: Bacteria; Bacillati; Armatimonadota; Armatimonadia; Capsulimonadales; Capsulimonadaceae. The record is from RNAcentral.
GUUUGUUGGGACGGGAUCCGCGCCGCUCAGACCGGCGAUGGAAGUUUUGACGCCUGGGUACGCGGCGAUCGUUCCGCCGCCGAACA